CAGUAGCCGCGGUAAUACAGAGGGUGCGAGCGUUAAUCGGAUUUACUGGGCGUAAAGCGUGCGUAGGCGGCUUUUUAAGUCGGAUGUGAAAUCCCUGAGCUUAACUUAGGAAUUGCAUUCGAUACUGGGAAGCUAGAGUAUGGGAGAGGAUGGUAGAAUUCCAGGUGUAGCGGUGAAAUGCGUAGAGAUCUGGAGGAAUACCGAUGGCGAAGGCAGCCAUCUGGCCUAAUACUGACGCUGAGGUACGAAAGCAUGGGGAGCAAACAGGAUUAGAUACCCCUGUAGUCCAUGUCUCUUAUAC
RNAcentral lists this ribosomal RNA (301 nucleotides) under uncultured bacterium. RNAcentral's name for it is "partial 16S ribosomal RNA". It matches the Rfam family "Bacterial small subunit ribosomal RNA", at positions 509 to 807 of the family's 1533-position model. The record is from RNAcentral.